Molecule: ribosomal RNA, 393 nt
Filed under: uncultured delta proteobacterium
Lineage: Bacteria; Deltaproteobacteria
Description: partial 16S ribosomal RNA
Rfam family: Bacterial small subunit ribosomal RNA
Source: RNAcentral
CCUACGGGCGGCAGCAGUAAGGAAUCUUCCGCAAUGGGCGAAAGCCUGACGGAGCAACGCCGCGUGGGCGAUGAAGGCCUUCGGGUCGUAAAGCCCUUUUCUGUGGGACGAUAAUGACGGUACCACAGGAAUAAGCCACGGCUAACUCCGUGCCAGCAGCCGCGGUAAUACGGAGGGUGCGAGCGUUGCUCGGAAUCACUGGGCGUAAAGCGCGUGUAGGCGGUCAGGCAAGUCAGAUGUGAAAGCCCCUGGCUUAACCAGGGAAGUGCAUUUGAAACUGCUGGGCUGGAGUACGGGAGAAGAGAGUGGAAUUCCCGGUGUAGAGGUAAAAUUCGUAGAUAUCGGGAGGAACACCGGUGGCGAAGGCGGCUCUCGGGCCCGAUACUGACGCUG